RNAcentral lists this ribosomal RNA (498 nucleotides) under uncultured bacterium. RNAcentral's name for it is "partial 16S ribosomal RNA". It matches the Rfam family "Bacterial small subunit ribosomal RNA", at positions 899 to 1397 of the family's 1533-position model. The record is from RNAcentral.
ACUCAAAGGAAUUGACGGGGGCCCGCACAAGCGGUGGAGCAUGUGGUUUAAUUCGAUGCAACGCGAAGAACCUUACCUGGGUUAGACAACACAGGACAGCGGUAGAGAUAUCGUUUUCCCUUCGGGGACCUGUGGUUUAGGUGCUGCAUGGCUGUCGUCAGCUCGUAUCGUGAGAUGUCGGGUUAAGUCCCUUAACGAGCGCAACCCCUAUCCCUAGUUGCCACCAUUCAGUUGGGCACUCUAUGGAGACUGCCGGUGUUAAACCGGAGGAAGGCGGGGAUGACGUCAAGUCCUCAUGGCCUUUAUGUCCAGGGCUACACACGUGCUACAAUGGCAGGUACAAAGGGUUGCCAACCCGCAAGGGGGAGCUAAUCUCAUAAAGCCUGUCUCAGUUCGGAUUGAAGUCUGCAACUCGACUUCAUGAAGCUGGAAUCGCUAGUAAUCGCGGAUCAGAACGCCGCGGUGAAUACGUUCCCGGGCCUUGUACACACCGCCCGU